UUAAGUUCAGCGGGUAGUCCUACCUGAUUUGAGGUCAGAUUUCAAAGUUUGGUUUUGACCGCCGCUCUACAGCAGGUCGUGGAAGGACACGGAAGGGGAACGUCUCGGGGAGAGCGAGGAUGGUACAACGCCCAGUCGAGUUUGACCCACAGGUCCAACCGAUGCAUUUGAAGGGAGCGACCUCGCGGCCGCACGCCCCC
This 200-nucleotide unclassified non-coding RNA is filed under the name Trechispora sp. RNAcentral describes it as "partial internal transcribed spacer 2". The record is from RNAcentral. Lineage: Eukaryota; Fungi; Basidiomycota; Agaricomycetes; Trechisporales; Hydnodontaceae.